RNAcentral lists this ribosomal RNA (518 nucleotides) under uncultured bacterium. RNAcentral describes it as "bacterial SSU rRNA". It matches the Rfam family "Bacterial small subunit ribosomal RNA", at positions 8 to 518 of the family's 1533-position model. The record is from RNAcentral.
AGAGUUUGAUUAUGGCUCAGGAUGAACGCUAGCGACAGGCUUAACACAUGCAAGUCGAGGGGCAGCGCGGAGGUAGCAAUACCUUGGCGGCGACCGGCGCACUGGUGAGUAACACGUAUGCGACCUGCCCCGGACAGGGGGAUAAACCCGGGAAACUGGGCCUAAUACCCCCAUAUGCCUGGAGGAUGCAUGUCCUCUGGGUGAAAGAUCCGUCGGUCCGGGAUGGGCAUGCGGCGCAUUAGCUUGUUGGCGGGGCAACGGCCCACCAAGGCGACGAUGCGUAGGGGUUCUGAGAGGAAGGUCCCCCACACUGGUACUGAGACACGGACCAGACUCCUACGGGAGGCAGCAGUGAGGAAUAUUGGUCAAUGGACGAUGGUCUGAACCAGCCCAAGUCGCGUGCGGGAUGAAGGCCCUCCGGGUCGUAAACCGCUUUAGCCGGGGAGUAACGUGGGGACGCGUCCCUCAGUGAGAGUACCCGGAGAAUAAGCAUCGGCUAACUCCGUGCCAGCCGCGGC